GCGUCCUACGGGGGGCAGCAGUGAGGAAUAUUGGUCAAUGGACGCAAGUCUGAACCAGCCAUGCCGCGUGCAGGAUGACGGCUCUAUGAGUUGUAAACUGCUUUUGUACGAGGGUAAACCCCGAUACGUGUAUCGGGUUGAAAGUAUCGUACGAAUAAGGAUCGGCUAACUCCGUGCCAGCAGCCGCGGUAAUACGGAGGAUGCGAGCGUUAUCCGGAUUCAUUGGGUUUAAAGGGUGCGCAGGCGGGCCUUUAAGCCGGCGGUGAAAUCGCGGGG
RNAcentral lists this ribosomal RNA (276 nucleotides) under uncultured bacterium. RNAcentral's name for it is "partial 16S ribosomal RNA". It matches the Rfam family "Bacterial small subunit ribosomal RNA", at positions 334 to 607 of the family's 1533-position model. The record is from RNAcentral.